GAUGAAGAACGUAGCGAAAUGCGAUAAGUAAUGUGAAUUGCAGAAUUCAGUGAAUCAUCGAAUCUUUGAACGCACCUUGCGCUCGUCGGUAUUCCGACGAGCAUGCCUGUUUGAGUCUCAUGAAUCUCUCAAACCUCGAAAGUUUGCGCUUUCGAUGGCUUUGGACUUGGAGGUCUAUGCCGGCACGAGUCGGCUCCUCUCUAAAUGCAUUAGCUCGGAUCAUACGUGUCGAUCUGCGGUGUGAUAAACGUCUACGUCGCGGCAUUUGACACCUCGCUUUUUUGCGAGCUGGUCUGGCUUCUAAUCGCCUUCGGGCAACACAUCUGACAUCUGAGCUCAAAUCAGGUAGGACUACCCGCUGAACUUAAGCAUAUCAAUAAGCGGAGGA
Molecule: unclassified non-coding RNA, 388 nt
Filed under: soil metagenome
Description: partial contains 5.8S ribosomal RNA, internal transcribed spacer 2, and large subunit ribosomal RNA
Rfam family: 5.8S ribosomal RNA (bases 1-120)
Source: RNAcentral